AUUGAACGCUGGCGGCAUGCCUUACACAUGCAAGUCGAACGGCAGCACGGAGCUUGCUCUGGUGGCGAGUGGCGAACGGGUGAGUAAUAUAUCGGAACGUACCCUAGAGUGGGGGAUAACGUAGCGAAAGUUACGCUAAUACCGCAUACGAUCUAAGGAUGAAAGUGGGGGAUCGCAAGACCUCAUGCUCGUGGAGCGGCCGAUAUCUGAUUAGCUAGUUGGUAGGGUAAAAGCCUACCAAGGCAUCGAUCAGUAGCUGGUCUGAGAGGACGACCAGCCACACUGGAACUGAGACACGGUCCAGACUCCUACGGGAGGCAGCAGUGGGGAAUUUUGGACAAUGGGCGAAAGCCUGAUCCAGCAAUGCCGCGUGAGUGAAGAAGGCCUUCGGGUUGUAAAGCUCUUUUGUCAGGGAAGAAACGGUGGGAGCUAAUAUCUCUUGCUAAUGACGGUACCUGAAGAAUAAGCACCGGCUAACUACGUGCCAGCAGCCGCGGUAAUACGUAGGGUGCAAGCGUUAAUCGGAAUUACUGGGCGUAAAGCGUGCGCAGGCGGUUUUGUAAGUCUGAUGUGAAAUCCCCGGGCUCAACCUGGGAAUUGCAUUGGAGACUGCAAGGCUAGAAUCUGGCAGAGGGGGGUAGAAUUCCACGUGUAGCAGUGAAAUGCGUAGAUAUGUGGAGGAACACCGAUGGCGAAGGCAGCCCCCUGGGUCAAGAUUGACGCUCAUGCACGAAAGCGUGGGGAGCAAACAGGAUUAGAUACCCUGGUAGUCCACGCCCUAAACGAUGUCUACUAGUUGUCGGGUCUUAAUUGACUUGGUAACGCAGCUAACGCGUGAAGUAGACCGCCUGGGGAGUACGGUCACAAGAUUAAAACUCAAAGGAAUUGACGGGGACCCGCACAAGCGGUGGAUGAUGUGGAUUAAUUCGAUGCAACGCGAAAAACCUUACCUACCCUUGACAUGGCUGGAAUCCUUGAGAGAUCAGGGAGUGCUCGAAAGAGAACCAGUACACAGGUGCUGCAUGGCUGUCGUCAGCUCGUGUCGUGAGAUGUUGGGUUAAGUCCCGCAACGAGCGCAACCCUUGUCAUUAGUUGCUACGAAAGGGCACUCUAAUGAGACUGCCGGUGACAAACCGGAGGAAGGUGGGGAUGACGUCAAGUCCUCAUGGCCCUUAUGGGUAGGGCUUCACACGUCAUACAAUGGUACAUACAGAGCGCCGCCAACCCGCGAGGUGGAGCUAAUCGCAGAAAGUGUAUCGUAGUCCGGAUUGUAGUCUGCAACUCGACUGCAUGAAGUUGGAAUCGCUAGUAAUCGCGGAUCAGCAUGUCGCGGUGAAUACGUUCCCGGGUCU
This 1352-nucleotide ribosomal RNA is filed under the name uncultured bacterium. RNAcentral's name for it is "bacterial SSU rRNA". It matches the Rfam family "Bacterial small subunit ribosomal RNA", at positions 28 to 1381 of the family's 1533-position model. The record is from RNAcentral.